Molecule: ribosomal RNA, 372 nt
Filed under: uncultured bacterium
Lineage: Bacteria
Description: bacterial SSU rRNA
Rfam family: Bacterial small subunit ribosomal RNA
Source: RNAcentral
AUUGAACGCUGGCGGCAUGCUUUACACAUGCAAGUCGAACGGUAACAGGCCUUCGGGUGCUGACGAGUGGCGAACGGGUGAGUAAUGCAUCGGAACGUGCCCAAUCGUGGGGGAUAACGUAGCGAAAGUUACGCUAAUACCGCAUAAGCCCUGAGGGGGAAAGCAGGGGAUCGCAAGACCUUGCGCGAAUGGAGCGGCCGAUGUCAGAUUAGCUAGUUGGUGGGGUAAAGGCCUACCAAGGCGACGAUCUGUAGCGGGUCUGAGAGGAUGAUCCGCCACACUGGGAUUGAGACACGGCCCAGACUCCUACGGGAGGCAGCAGUGGGGAAUUUUGGACAAUGGGCGCAAGCCUGAUCCAGCCACGCCGCGUGC